UACAGAGGUCCCAAGCGUCGUUCGGAUUCACUGGGCGUAAAGCGUGCGCAGACGGUUGCGUAAGUCAGAUGUGAAAGCCCCGGGCUCAACCUGGGAAUUGCAUUUGAGACUGCGUAGCUAGGGUGCGGAAGAGGGAAGCGGAAUUUCCGGUGUAGCGGUGAAAUGCGUAGAUAUCGGAAGGAACACCAGUGGCGAAAGCGGCUUCCUGGUCCAGCACCGACGUUCAGGCACGAAAGCGUGGGGAGCAAACAGG
This 253-nucleotide ribosomal RNA is filed under the name uncultured bacterium. Its description in RNAcentral is "partial 16S ribosomal RNA". It matches the Rfam family "Bacterial small subunit ribosomal RNA", at positions 524 to 776 of the family's 1533-position model. The record is from RNAcentral.